GAUGCACAUAUGAACUAGAAUGCAGCUCCAGUUUGUAUGGAACUGAAUCAUGUUUAUCCAAGACCUUGUAGAGGUCAUAGUAUUUAGGAGCAUGCAAUUUUAUAUGAUUAGAACGAAUCAACACUAAUUGUUGCAUGUAAGGAUGAAGCUGCACAUACACAUAAUAUUCCACCUCAAAAUGUCUUACACUUGUGUGUAAAUCAGCUUGUUGCUUCAUGUUGAUGCUGAACACGCAUUAAAUGGAACUUCAAAAUCAGU
RNAcentral lists this long non-coding RNA (258 nucleotides) under Brassica napus (rape). RNAcentral's name for it is "long non-coding RNA (BNAP_LNC026376)". Lineage: Eukaryota; Viridiplantae; Streptophyta; Magnoliopsida; Brassicales; Brassicaceae. The record is from RNAcentral.